GGAGUCUUAGUAUCUCUGAGAUAAUUGAGGCCUUUGAGAAAUACAAAAGAAGAGCUGAAGAGCAAAGAAACAAGCAGAAGAAAAGAGAACUCCCCAUUCCCCCAGUCAAAGAGUUACAACCCUGCAGGACCUUUUCACAGGAAAGCAGCAGCUCUCUCUCAAUUUGUCUUCAGAGGUUCUGUGGAACACUGGGAAGCAGAGAAGGGCAAGAACUGAAUGAAGGUGGAUCACAGACUGGGGCACUGUCAGUGAAUUACAUGUGAUGUGGUGGCUCUUGGCGAAUCAGAUGCUUAAGUGAUCCCAGUUCCAGCCAAUAACUACACCGCCAUUCUGCUGUGCCGGUCCUCACGACAAGUGAUCAGCUGACUAGAAUUCCCUAUUAUGUUAAACAAAACAAAACAAUAAACCAAAACUAUGUGUCUAG
Molecule: long non-coding RNA, 424 nt
Filed under: Rattus norvegicus (Norway rat)
Lineage: Eukaryota; Metazoa; Chordata; Mammalia; Rodentia; Muridae
Description: long non-coding RNA NONRATT030038
Source: RNAcentral